GAACGAUGAAGCUCUAGCUUGCUAGAGUGGAUUAGUGGCGCACGGGUGAGUAAUGCAUAGAUAACAUGCCCUUUAGUCUAGGAUAGCCAUUGGAAACGAUGAUUAAUACUGGAUACUCCUUACGAGGGAAAGUUUUUCGCUAAAGGAUUGGUCUAUGUCCUAUCAGCUUGUUGGUGAGGUAAUGGCUCACCAAGGCUAUGACGGGUAUCCGGCCUGAGAGGGUGAACGGACACACUGGAACUGAGACACGGUCCAGACUCCUACGGGAGGCAGCAGUAGGGAAUAUUGCUCAAUGGGGGAAACCCUGAAGCAGCAACGCCGCGUGGAGGAUGAAGGUUUUCGGAUUGUAAACUCCUUUUGUUAGAGAAGAUAAUGACGGUAUCUAACGAAUAAGCACCGGCUAACUCCGUGCCAGCAGCCGCGGUAAUACGGAGGGUGCAAGCGUUACUCGGAAUCACUGGGCGUAAAGAGCGCGUAGGCGGGAUAGCAAGUCAGAUGUGAAAUCCUGUGGCUUAACCAUAGAACUGCAUUUGAAACUGUUAUUCUAGAGUAUGGGAGAGGUAGGUGGAAUUCUUGGUGUAGGGGUAAAAUCCGUAGAGAUCAAGAGGAAUACUCAUUGCGAAGGCGACCUGCUAGAACAUAACUGACGCUGAUGCGCGAAAGCGUGGGGAGCAAACAGGAUUAGAUACCCUGGUAGUCCACGCCCUAAACGAUGAAUGCUAGUUGUUGUGGAGCUUGUCUCUGCAGUAAUGCAGCUAACGCAUUAAGCAUUCCGCCUGGGGAGUACGGUCGCAAGAUUAAAACUCAAAGGAAUAGACGGGGACCCGCACAAGCGGUGGAGCAUGUGGUUUAAUUCGAAGAUACACGAAGAACCUUACCUAGGCUUGACAUUGAUAGAAUCCGCUAGAGAUAGUGGAGUGCUAGCUUGCUAGAACUUGAAAACAGGUGCUGCACGGCUGUCGUCAGCUCGUGUCGUGAGAUGUUGGGUUAAGUCCCGCAACGAGCGCAACCCUCGUCCUUAGUUGCUAACUAUUCGGUAGAGCACUCUAAGGAGACUGCCUUCGCAAGGAGGAGGAAGGUGAGGAUGACGUCAAGUCAUCAUGGCCCUUACGCCUAGGGCUACACACGUGCUACAAUGGGAAGCACAAAGAGAUGCAAUAUUGUGAAAUGGAGCAAAUCUAUAAAACUUCUCUCAGUUCGGAUUGUAGUCUGCAACUCGACUACAUGAAGCUGGAAUCGCUAGUAAU
This 1247-nucleotide ribosomal RNA is filed under the name uncultured bacterium. Its description in RNAcentral is "partial 16S ribosomal RNA". It matches the Rfam family "Bacterial small subunit ribosomal RNA", at positions 64 to 1342 of the family's 1533-position model. The record is from RNAcentral.